UCCUGGCUCAGGAUGAACGCUGGCGGCGUGCCUAAUACAUGCAAGUCGAACGCACAGCGAAAGGUGCUUGCACCUUUCAAGUGAGUGGCGAACGGGUGUGUAACACGUGGACAACCNGCCUCAAGGCUGGGGAUAACAUUUGGAAACAGAUGCUAAUACCGAAUAAAACUCAGUGUCGCAUGACACAAAGUUAAAAGGCGCUUUGGCGUCACCUAGAGAUGGAUCCGCGGUGCAUUAGUUAGUUGGUGGGGUAAAGGCCUACCAAGACAAUGAUGCAUAGCCGAGUUGAGAGACUGAUCGGCCACAUUGGGACUGAGACACGGCCCAAACUCCUACGGGAGGCUGCAGUAGGGAAUCUUCCACAAUGGGCGAAAGCCUGAUGGAGCAACGCCGCGUGUGUGAUGAAGGCUUUCAGGUCGUAAAGCACUGUUGUAUGGGAAGAACAGCUAGAAUAGGGAAUGAUUUUAGUUUGACGGUACCAUACCAGAAAGGGACGGCUAAAUACGUGCCAGCAGCCGCGGUAAUACGUAUGUCCCGAGCGUUAUCCGGAUUUAUUGGGCGUAAAGCUAGCGCAAACUGUUGAUUAAGUCUGAUGUGAAAGCCCGGAGCUCAACUCCGGAAUGGCAUUGGAAACUGGUUAACUUGAGUGCAGUACAAGUAAGUGGAACUCCAUGUGUAGCGGUGGAA
This 687-nucleotide ribosomal RNA is filed under the name uncultured bacterium. RNAcentral's name for it is "bacterial SSU rRNA". It matches the Rfam family "Bacterial small subunit ribosomal RNA", at positions 17 to 686 of the family's 1533-position model. The record is from RNAcentral.